RNAcentral lists this ribosomal RNA (709 nucleotides) under uncultured Enterobacteriaceae bacterium. RNAcentral's name for it is "bacterial SSU rRNA". It matches the Rfam family "Bacterial small subunit ribosomal RNA", at positions 793 to 1502 of the family's 1533-position model. Lineage: Bacteria; Pseudomonadati; Pseudomonadota; Gammaproteobacteria; Enterobacterales; Enterobacteriaceae. The record is from RNAcentral.
AGUCACGCUGUAAACGAUGUCGAUUUGGAGUUUGGGGGCAUGACCCUUGGGCUCCGGAGCUAACGCGUUAAAUCGACCGCUGGGGAGUACGGCCGCAAGGUUAAAACUCAAAUGAAUUGACGGGGGCCCGCACAAGCGGUGGAGCAUGUGGUUUAAUUCGAUGCAACGCGAAGAACCUUACCUGGUCUUGACAUCCAUAGAAUCUUUCAGAGAUGAGAGAGUGCCUUCGGGAGCUAUGAGACAGGUGCUGCAUGGCUGUCGUCGGCUCGUGUUGUGAAAUGUUGGGUUAAGUCCCGCAACGAGCGCAACCCCUAUCCUUUGUUGCCAGCACGUAAUGGUGGGAACUCAAAGGAGACUGCCGUUGAUAAAGCGGAGGAAGGUGGGGACGACGUCAAGUCAUCAUGGCCCUUACGACCAGGGCUACACACGUGCUACAAUGGCGUAUACAAAGGGAUGCGAAGGUGCGAACUGGAGCGGACCUCACAAAGUACGUCUAAGUCCGGAUUGGAGUCUGCAACUCGACUCCAUGAAGUCGGAAUCGCUAGUAAUCGUGAAUCAGAAUGUCACGGUGAAUACGUUCCCGGGCCUUGUACACACCGCCCGUCACACCAUGGGAGUGGGUUGCACCAGAAGUAGAUAGCUUAACCUUCGGGAGGGCGUUUACCACGGUGUGGUUCAUGACUGGGGUGAAGUCGUAACAAGGUAACCA